GAUGAACGCUGGCGGCGUGCCUAAUACAUGCAAGUCGAGCGAACAGACGAGGAGCUUGCUCCUCUGACGUUAGCGGCGGACGGGUGAGUAACACGUGGAUAACCUACCUAUAAGACUGGGAUAACUUCGGGAAACCGGAGCUAAUACCGGAUAAUAUAUUGAACCGCAUGGUUCAAUAGUGAAAGACGGUUUUGCUGUCACUUAUAGAUGGAUCCGCGCCGCAUUAGCUAGUUGGUAAGGUAACGGCUUACCAAGGCAACGAUGCGUAGCCGACCUGAGAGGGUGCUCCGCCCCGCUGGCACGUGGACACGGUCCAGACUCCUACGGGAGGCAGCAGUAGGGAAUCUUCCGCAAUGGGCGAAAGCCUGACGGAGCAACGCCGCGUGAGUGAUGAAGGUCUUCGGAUCGUAAAACUCUGUUAUUAGGGAAGAACAAAUGUGUAAGUAACUAUGCACGUCUUGACGGUACCUAAUCAGAAAGCCCCGGCUAACUACGUG
This 497-nucleotide ribosomal RNA is filed under the name uncultured bacterium. Its description in RNAcentral is "partial 16S ribosomal RNA". It matches the Rfam family "Bacterial small subunit ribosomal RNA", at positions 28 to 507 of the family's 1533-position model. The record is from RNAcentral.